This 333-nucleotide long non-coding RNA is filed under the name Elaeis guineensis (African oil palm). RNAcentral's name for it is "long non-coding RNA (EGUI_LNC072700)". Lineage: Eukaryota; Viridiplantae; Streptophyta; Magnoliopsida; Arecales; Arecaceae. The record is from RNAcentral.
UUUGCCCCCUUGACUGGUGUCGCCCCGUUCGGCUACUCCGAAGUUCUCAGGCGGAACGUCCUCACCGAUUGUCUCCGUUAUUAAACCCCUAUUGUUGAAAGAAUUAUCCCUCGAGUCCCCUUUAAGGCGGCGGGAACCCUUAGCGGUAGUUCGACGAUCGGAGAAUUCGCAGACUGCCGUUCUACUCCUUGUACUCUUCUUAGCCCAUGGCGUCAUCUGGGGAUUGGCCUCCGGAGCAGGGGUCCGUGCAAGAGAACCCCGUGGAGAGAUUCGGGGGACUGGAGGCAGCGGAGAGCCGAUGGAGAUGGCGAGGACCAGCGCGAGGGACGCUCG